RNAcentral lists this long non-coding RNA (1111 nucleotides) under Phasianus colchicus (ring-necked pheasant). RNAcentral describes it as "lncRNA (ENSPCLG00000017880.1)". Lineage: Eukaryota; Metazoa; Chordata; Aves; Galliformes; Phasianidae. The record is from RNAcentral.
GGACCCCAUAGAGUCCAAUAGGGACCCAUAGGGACCCAUAGAGACCCAUAGAGACCCCAUAGAGACCCCAUAGGGACCCAUAGAGACCCAUAGAGACCCCAUAGGAACCCAUAGGGACCCCAUAGAGCCCCAUAGGGACCCAUAGAGCCCCCCAUAGAGCCCCAUAGAGCCCCAUACAAACCCCUUGCCCCCUCCCCCCCCCCAAACCCCGUGACCCCGUGACCUUUGACCCCCCGCUGACCUCCAUGUGCGGCCCCAUGGCCCAGCAGCGCCCGCAGCCGUGGGGCAGCAGCACCCCGUGCACAAGCAGCUGCAGGACGGCCAGCACGGCGCUCAGCACCGACAGCGACAGGGCGGCGCGCAGCUGCGGCAUCCCAUAAUAGCCCGUGGGCAUCCCAUAGUAACCCCAUAGGUAUAGCCCAUAAUAACCCAUGGACAUCCCAUAAUAAUCCCAUAGGUAUGUCCCAUAAUAGCCCGUGGACAUCCCAUAGUAACCCCAUAGGUAUAUCCCAUAAUAGCCCGUGGACAUCCCAUAAUAACCCCAUGGAUAUGUCCCAUAAUAGCCCAUGGACAUCCCAUAAUAACCCCAUAGGUAUAGCCCAUAGGUAUCCCAUAAUAACCCCAUAGGUAUUGCCCACGGACAUCCCAUAAUAACCCCGCGGAUAUAUCCCAUGGACAUCCCAUAAUAACCCCAUAGGUAUAUCCCAUAAUAGCCCAUAGACAUCCCAUAAUAACCCCAUGGAAACCCCAUGGACAUCCCAUAAUAACGCCAUGGAUAGCCCAUAAUAAUCCCAUAGAUAUCCCAUAGAAAUCCUAUAGACAUCCCAUAAUAACCCCAUAGAUACAUCCCAUAAUAGCCCACAGACAUCCCAUAAUAACCCCAUGGAUAUAUCCCAUGGACAUCCCAUAAUAACCCCAUAGAUAUCCCACAGACAUCCCAUAAUAACCCCAUAGAAACCCCAUGGACAUCCCAUAAUAACCCCACGGACAUCCCAUAGAAACCCUGUAGGUACCCCAUAAAUCCCCCAUAGAUCCCCCAUAGACAUCCCAUAAUAACCCCAUAGACAUCCCAUAAUAACCCCAUAGAAAUCCCAUAGAAAUCCUAUAGACA